This 465-nucleotide ribosomal RNA is filed under the name uncultured bacterium. Its description in RNAcentral is "partial 16S ribosomal RNA". It matches the Rfam family "Bacterial small subunit ribosomal RNA", at positions 339 to 795 of the family's 1533-position model. The record is from RNAcentral.
CUACGGGUCGCUGCAGUGGGGAAUAUUGGACAAUGGGGGAAACCCUGAUCCAGCAAUGCCGCGUGUGUGAAGAAGGCCUGCGGGUUGUAAAGCACUUUCGGUUGGGAGGACUGCUUCUAGCACUAAUAUUGUUGGAAGUUGAAGUUACCUUCAGAAGAAGCACCGGCUAACUCCGUGCCAGCAGCCGCGGUAAUACGGGGGGUGCAAGCGUUAAUCGGAAUUACUGGGCGUAAAGCGCGCGUAGGCGGCUAGAUCAGUCGGGUGUGAAAGCCCCGGGCUUAACCUGGGAACUGCAUCCGAUACUGUCUAGCUUGAGUACAGGAGAGGAGAGUGGAAUUCCACAUGUAGCGGUGAAAUGCGUAGAUAUGUGGAGGAACACCAAUGGCGAAGGCAGCUCUCUGGCCUGAUACUGACGCUGAGGUGCGAAAGCGUGGGGAGCAAACAGGAUUAGAUACCCCCGUAGUC